GACGAACGCUGGCGGCGUGCUUAACACAUGCAAGUCGAACGGUGAAAGGGAGCUUGCUCCCUGGAUCAGUGGCGAACGGGUGAGUAACACGUGGGCAACCUGCCCCAGACUUCGGGAUAACGCUUCGAAAGGAGUGCUAAUACCGGAUACGAACUCCUUGGGCAUCCUUGGGGUUGGAAAGUUUUUCGGUCUGGGAUGGGCCCGCGGCCUAUCAGCUUGUUGGUGAGGUAACGGCUCACCAAGGCGACGACGGGUAGCCGGCCUGAGAGGGCAACCGGCCACACUGGGACUGAGACACGGCCCAGACUCCUACGGGAGGCAGCAGUGGGGAAUAUUGCGCAAUGGGCGAAGGCCUGACGCAGCAACGCCGCGUGAGGGAUGACGGCCUUCGGGUUGUAAACCUCUUUCAGCAGGGAAGAAGCGAAAGUGACGGUACCUGCAGAAGAAGCACCGGCUAACUACGUGCCAGCAGCCGCAGUAA
Molecule: ribosomal RNA, 481 nt
Filed under: uncultured bacterium
Lineage: Bacteria
Description: partial 16S ribosomal RNA
Rfam family: Bacterial small subunit ribosomal RNA
Source: RNAcentral